This 403-nucleotide ribosomal RNA is filed under the name Cherax dispar. RNAcentral's name for it is "partial 16S ribosomal RNA". It matches the Rfam family "Archaeal large subunit ribosomal RNA", at positions 2012 to 2615 of the family's 2987-position model. The record is from RNAcentral. Lineage: Eukaryota; Metazoa; Arthropoda; Malacostraca; Decapoda; Parastacidae.
GGUAUCAUGACCGUGCGAAGGUAGCAUAAUCAUUAGUCUCUUAAUUGGAGGCUGGAAUGAAUGGUUGGACGAGAAAUUAGCUGUCUUAGUUUUGAAAAUUGAAUUUAACUUUUAAGUGAGAAGGCUUAAAUGGGCUAGAGGGACGAUAAGACCCUAUAAAGUUUGUACAUUAAACUAAUUAAAGGUGGUUUAGGUUUAUAAAAUCUGCCAUUAGGGAAGUGUUUAGUUGGGGCGAUUGGGAUAUAAGUUAUCUAACUGUUUCUUUGUUUUAAUCAAAAAUAUUUGAGUUUAUGAUCCUUUUUUAGGAUUAAAGAGUAAAUUACUUUAGGGAUAACAGCGUAAUUUUUUUUGAGAGUUCUUAUCGAUAAGAGAGUUUGCGACCUCGAUGUUGAAUUAAAAUUUC